Schizosaccharomyces pombe (fission yeast) is the source of this 408-nucleotide non-coding RNA. The record is from the annotation of a GenBank genome assembly. NCBI's taxonomy places the organism in Eukaryota, Fungi, Ascomycota, Schizosaccharomycetes, Schizosaccharomycetales, Schizosaccharomycetaceae.
AACCGAUGUCGUGUCAGUUUCCUUCCUAAGGGAUUCCAAUUCAAUUUGUAUAGUCAUGAUUUGACGGUCUAAACGCCGCAAUUCAUCAGGUUUAGACUCUUGUUGUAAGCGAAGAGAGGAGCAGGCUUCAUCGACUAAAUCAAUGGCUUUAUCGGGAAGAAAUCGAUCGGUGAUGUAUCUAGCGCUGUACGUAGCUGCUGUUACCAAAGCAUCGUCAGUGAUACGUACACCAUGAUGAACUUCGUAUCGUUCUUUCAGACCACGAAGAAUUGAGAUGGUGUCAGCUACAGAAGGUUCAUUUACCAUAACUGCUUGAAAUCUUCUUGCCAAAGCAGCGUCUUUCUCGAUGUAUUUUCUGUAUUCCUCCAAGGUUGUCGCACCACAACAGUGCAAUUUACCACGGGCUAA